UACGGAGGGGGCGAGCGUUGUCCGGAAUCACUGGGCGUAAAGGGCGCGUAGGCGGCCCGGUAAGUAGGGGGUGAAAUCUUGCGGCUUAACCGCAAGGCUGCCUUCUAAACUGCCAGGCUCGAGCACAGUAGAGGCAGGUGGAAUUCCCGGUGUAGCGGUGGAAUGCGUAGAGAUCGGGAAGAACAUCGGUGGCGAAGGCGGCCUGCUGGGCUGUUGCUGACGCUGAGGCGCGACAGCGUGGGGAGCAAACAGG
RNAcentral lists this ribosomal RNA (253 nucleotides) under uncultured bacterium. Its description in RNAcentral is "partial 16S ribosomal RNA". It matches the Rfam family "Bacterial small subunit ribosomal RNA", at positions 524 to 776 of the family's 1533-position model. The record is from RNAcentral.